Molecule: ribosomal RNA, 541 nt
Filed under: uncultured bacterium
Lineage: Bacteria
Description: bacterial SSU rRNA
Rfam family: Bacterial small subunit ribosomal RNA
Source: RNAcentral
GCAAGUCGAGCGCCCUGUUUCGGCAGGGAGCGGCGGACGGGUGAGUAACGCGUGGGAACGUGCCCUUUAGUUCAGAAUAGCCACUGGAAACGGUGAGUAAUACUGGAUACGCCCUUCGGGGGAAAGAUUUAUCGCUAAAGGAUCGGCCCGCGUUGGAUUAGCUAGUUGGUGGGGUAAAGGCCUACCAAGGCGACGAUCUAUAGCUGGUCUGAGAGGAUGAUCAGCCACACUGGGACUGAGACACGGCCCAGACUCCUACGGGAGGCAGCAGUGGGGAAUAUUGGACAAUGGGGGCAACCCUGAUCCAGCCAUGCCGCGUGAGUGAAGAAGGCCCUAGGGUUGUAAAGCUCUUUCAGAUGUGAGGAUGAUGACAGUAGCAUCAGAAGAAGCACCGGCUAACUUCGUGCCAGCAGCCGCGGUAAUACGAAGGGUGCUAGCGUUGUUCGGAAUUACUGGGCGUAAAGGGCGUGUAGGCGGAUGAUCAAGCUAGGGGUGAAAGCCCAGGGCCCAACCCUGGAACUGCCUUUANAACUGAUUGUCU